CCUACGGGUGGCAGCAGUGGGGAAUAUUGCACAAUGGGGAAACCCUGAUGCAGCGACGCCGCGUGAGCGAUGAAGUAUUUCGGUAUGUAAAGCUCUAUCAGCAGGGAAGAACGGUCACUGUGCUAAUCAGCAGUGAAUUGACGGUACCUGCACAGGCAGCACCGGCUAACUCCGUGCCAGCAGCGGCGGUAAUACGGAGGGUGCGAGCGUUAAUCGGAAUUACUGGGCGUAAAGGGUUCGUAGGCGGCAUGUCAAGUCAAGGGUGAAAGCCCCGGGCUCAACGUGGGAACGGCAUUUGAAACUGGCAAACUGGAGUGCGUGAGAGGUAAGUGGAAUUCCAGGUGUAGGAGUGAAAUCCGUAGAUAUCUGGAGGAACAUCAGUGGCGAAGGCGACUAUCUGGCACAUAACUGACGCUGAGGAGCGAAAGCGUGGGUAGCAAACAGGAUUAGAUACCCUAGUAGUC
This 464-nucleotide ribosomal RNA is filed under the name uncultured bacterium. RNAcentral describes it as "partial 16S ribosomal RNA". It matches the Rfam family "Bacterial small subunit ribosomal RNA", at positions 338 to 795 of the family's 1533-position model. The record is from RNAcentral.